AUUGAACGCUGGCGGCAGGCCUAACACAUGCAAGUCGAACGAGCGGCGGACGGGUGGGUGAUGCCUGGGAAUUGCCCUGUCGAGGGGGAUAGCAGUUGGAAACGACUGCUAAGACCGCACACGAUUGGCUUGCCCAGGUGGGGUUAGCUAGUUGGUGAGGUAAUGGCUCACCAAGGCGACGAUCCCUAGCGGGUCAGAGAGGAUGAUCAGCCACACGGGAACGGAGACACGGUCCAGACUCGUACGGGAGGCAGCAGUGGGGAAUAUUGCACAAUGGGGGAAACCCGGAUGCAGCCAUGCCGCGUGUGUGAAGAAGGCCUUCGGGUUGUAAAGCACGUUCAGCGAGGAGGCGGUACUCGCAGAAGAAGCACCGGCUAACUCCGUGCCAGCAGCCGCGGUAAUAC
This 404-nucleotide ribosomal RNA is filed under the name uncultured bacterium. RNAcentral describes it as "partial 16S ribosomal RNA". It matches the Rfam family "Bacterial small subunit ribosomal RNA", at positions 29 to 526 of the family's 1533-position model. The record is from RNAcentral.